This 253-nucleotide ribosomal RNA is filed under the name uncultured bacterium. RNAcentral's name for it is "partial 16S ribosomal RNA". It matches the Rfam family "Bacterial small subunit ribosomal RNA", at positions 524 to 776 of the family's 1533-position model. The record is from RNAcentral.
UACGUAGGUGGCAAGCGUUGUCCGGAUUUACUGGGCGUAAAGGGCGUGCAGGCGGUUUGUUAAGUCUAGGGUGAAAGCCCACGGCUCAACCGUGGAGGGUCAUUGGAAACUGGGGAACUUGAGUGCAGAAGAGGAAAGUGGAAUUCCAAGUGUAGCGGUGAAAUGCGUAGAGAUUUGGAGGAACACCAGUGGCGAAGGCGACUUUCUGGUCUGUAACUGACACUGAGGCGCGAAAGCGUGGGGAGCAAACAGG